UGGGGAAUAUUGCACAAUGGAGGGAACUCUGAUGCAGCGACGCCGCGUGAACGAAGAAGGCUUUCGAGUCGUAAAGUUCAUUUAUAUGGGAAGAUAAUGACGGUACCAUAAGAAAAAGCCCCGGCUAACUACGUGCCAGCAGCCGCGGUAAUACGUAGGGGGCUAGCGUUGUCCGGAAUCACUGGGCGUAAAGGGUUCGCAGGCGGAAAUGCAAGUCAGGUGUAAAAGGCAGUAGCUUAACUACUGUAAGCAUUUGAAACUGCAUAUCUUGAGAAGAGUAGAGGUAAGUGGAAUUUUUAGUGUAGCGGUGAAAUGCGUAGAUAUUAAAAAGAAUACCGGUGGCGAAGGCGACUUACUGGGCUCAUUCUGACGCUGAGGAACGAAAGCGUGGGUAGCAAACAGG
RNAcentral lists this ribosomal RNA (403 nucleotides) under Fusobacteriota bacterium. Its description in RNAcentral is "Fusobacteria bacterium partial 16S ribosomal RNA". It matches the Rfam family "Bacterial small subunit ribosomal RNA", at positions 355 to 776 of the family's 1533-position model. The record is from RNAcentral. Lineage: Bacteria; Fusobacteriati; Fusobacteriota.